UACGGGGGGGGCAAGCGUUGUUCGGAAUUACUGGGCGUAAAGGGCUCGUAGGUGGCCAACUAAGUCAGACGUGAAAUCCCCAAGCUUAACCUGGGAACUGCGUCUGAUACUGGAUGGCUUGAAUUCGGGAGAGGGAUGCAGAAUUCCAGGUGUAGCGGUGAAAUGCGUAGAUAUCUGGAGGAACAUCGGUGGCGAAGGCGGCAUCCUGGACCGGUAUUGACGCUGAGGCGCGAAAGCCAGGGGAGCAAACGGG
This 253-nucleotide ribosomal RNA is filed under the name uncultured bacterium. RNAcentral describes it as "partial 16S ribosomal RNA". It matches the Rfam family "Bacterial small subunit ribosomal RNA", at positions 524 to 776 of the family's 1533-position model. The record is from RNAcentral.